This 608-nucleotide ribosomal RNA is filed under the name uncultured bacterium. RNAcentral describes it as "bacterial SSU rRNA". The stretch from base 1 to 520 matches the Rfam family "Bacterial small subunit ribosomal RNA", at positions 338 to 873 of the family's 1533-position model. The record is from RNAcentral.
CCUACGGGAGGCAGCAGUAGGGAAUUUUCCACAAUGGGCGAAAGCCUGAUGGAGCAAUACCGCGUGCAGGAUGAAGGCCUUCGGGUCGUAAACUGCUUUUAUGUGCGAAGAAUUUGACGGUAACACAUGAAUAAGGAUCGGCUAACUACGUGCCAGCAGCCGCGGUCAUACGUAGGAUCCAAGCGUUAUCCGGAAUUACUGGGCGUAAAGAGUUGCGUAGGUGGCAUUAUAAGUGGAGCGUGAAAGCGUGCGGCUCAACCGCAUUAUUGCGUUCCAAACUGUGAAGCUUGAGUAUGGGAGAGGUAGAUGGAAUUUCUAGUGUAGGAGUGAAAUCCGUAGAUAUUAGAAGGAACACCGAUGGCGUAGGCAGUCUACUGGCCCAUUACUGACACUAAGGCACGAAAGCGUGGGGAGCAAACGGGAUUAGAUACCCCGGUAGUCCACGCUGUAAACUAUGGAUGCUAGCUGUGACACACAUCGACCUGUGUCGUAGCGAAGUUAACGCGUUAAGCAUCCCGCCUGGGGGAGGACGGUCGCGAGAAGUAAACUAACGUUAAAGAAAGUAGUUAGGACGUGAGACGNGCGACGGACGACGACGAGGGAGGAGG